Molecule: ribosomal RNA, 225 nt
Filed under: Caprella equilibra
Lineage: Eukaryota; Metazoa; Arthropoda; Malacostraca; Amphipoda; Caprellidae
Description: partial 28S ribosomal RNA
Rfam family: Eukaryotic large subunit ribosomal RNA
Source: RNAcentral
GUGAUANCUCAUAGGCGNAGUGAAAGUAAGUAUAGGAUNCGAUGGUGUUAAAGCCUGCAGUAUCGGCCGCUUGGGAUCUUUUGAGACCGANGUGNGCAAGAGCAUAUUUGUUAGGACCCGAAAGAUGGUGAACUAUGCUUGAGUAGGAUGAAGUCAGGGGAAACUCUGAUGGAGGUNCGAAGCGGUACUGACGUGCAAAUCGUUCGUCAAACUUGAGUAUAGGGG